UGGAUAUUGAAGGUGGAGAGUUUCAAGUUCUAAAAACAAUCCCCUGGGACAAGGUUGAUAUUCAAGUUUUCAGCAUUGAAACACAUUUUGCAGGGGAGAGAAGUGAAGGAUCAAGGGAGGAUAUAAAAGAAUAUAUGGAAUCCGUGUUUAGCGGAGAGAAGUGAAGGAUCAAGGGAGGAUAUUAUAGAAUAUAUGGAAUCCAUGUUUAGGGGAGAGAAGUGAAGGAUCAAGGGAGGAUAUAAUAGAAUAUAUGGAAUCCGUGUUUAGGGGAGAGAAGUGAAGGAUCAAGGGAGGAUAUUA
Molecule: long non-coding RNA, 300 nt
Organism: Eurytemora carolleeae
Lineage: Eukaryota; Metazoa; Arthropoda; Copepoda; Calanoida; Temoridae
Exons: 3
Source: RefSeq, a predicted model, not a curated record